Oreochromis aureus is the source of this 1887-nucleotide long non-coding RNA. The record is from Ensembl. Lineage: Eukaryota; Metazoa; Chordata; Actinopteri; Cichliformes; Cichlidae.
GAAAGAACAGCAGGGUGAUUUAAAGAAAUCCCCUGUCAUUUAAAUUGGUCCUUCGAACCUAGCGAUGGAAACAACAGACACAUUUCUGUGACUCCAAUAAGGUCUGACUUCUGCAUCCUGAUGCCGUGGGUAAACCAGCACCGAAGUCUGUCCACAGCCCUCUCCAGGUAGAGGUGAGAGUCCUGGAACGUUGAAUUCGGGUCCAGGCCGGUGGUUUAGUACUGGUCCACGACGUUGGGAUCCAGAUGACCUGAACAACCAGCAAAAGACAAUUGAGGGUUGAAACCAAGUGUUAUUGACAACACCCACAGCCUGUAAAAUUGCAGAGAGACCAUCUUGGACACAUCAGAGCCACUGCAAAAAGGUUGAGGUCCCGGGAAGCCCCGACAUCGAGGAGGAAGCGCCUACGCUUGGUUGUUUCGGGGGUGAGGGUGGUAAGUGCGUUCUUGGGGCCCCCGUAGGGUAAGCCCGCACUCCAAUCUCUAUCCGAUCAACUUUAGGCAGCCAGGUGUAGGUGUGAAGGGGGACCCUGAUGGUUACCUUGACUACAAAGCUCACCCUUACAGGACCCCAGCCGAUGCCUACAGCAGCUGAGCCACGAGGCAGACAGAGAAGAUGGACGUAUGACAACUUACACCUAAUGGACAUGACACAAGAUCACAUCCAUUCUUGGAUGAAAAAUGCCUGAUACAGAGAUGUGUUUAGCAAGACCACAGAGAAAGACUGUUACGUCUGCUCGCACAUGCCGAGCAUAUUAACACAACCAUAUAUGGGAAACACCCUGGGACAGGUGCACUAAUUCUGAUCUCUGACCACCUUGAGAGUGACUUUUGCAAAGUGAACAACAACAACAACAUCGUCAUCCUAAUCCAGGAAGAAACGCUCAACUUCAACAGUCAGACUACAUGACUCAACCUGGGAAACCAACGUACCUGAAGAAUUCAAACUUUGGACAAUUGGACAAAAGGUACUCAACUCACUCCUCCUGUAGGCAGGAGUUGGAAAGCAUGCUCUCAGAAGUGAGAUAAUGGACUAUAGAUUCGGAUUGUUUCUCAAAGCAUCCUGCGAGGUCAACGAGGGACAAAACAAAGAAAUAGACGCUCUCAGAAUUGCUGUAAUGCAACAUCGUGUAGCACUGCACUUGAUCCUUCAGACAUGACUUCAAGUUUUAAAGAGACUGUUGAUCGUCGUUGGACUUUUCCUGAUUUUAUUUUGUUUUCUUUAUUUGAGUUAUUACUUGUUUAAAGCUGUAAUUUCACAGAUGAUAAGUUUAUCAUUCACAGCAUACGCAGAUGUACUGAAAUCUAUGAAGAUCAUGAAGAAUUCUUUUCCUGUUUGUUUCAUGAAGAUGAAGUGUAACUUAUGAUGUAGUAACUGAGAAUGUGAAAGACAAGUAGUUACUUAUUGUACAUUUCAUUUCUCUGAUAAACAGGGCGGAAUGUCAAGAGAAAAUUGUAUAUAUGUGAUCAGCUACAUGAAAUGUAUCCUUUCAUUAUUUGUGAUUAAGCAUAUUUCUACAUGACUUUUCACCUAGUGACUUGUGUGAUGAACUUAUGCAGAUACUAACCGCAUCCUGUCGUUCUGAACAUUUAGAUGUAGAGAAGACCAAGCUCAGCUCUUUUACGAGAACAUGCAAAUGUAGAGAAGGGGAAAAACCCGCUGCUCUGAAUGACGUUGUUACCUUUGUAUACACACACACACACACACACACACACACACACACACACACACACACACACACACACAGGAACAUCUUGUAUAAAUAAAGGACGCGGACAGUCAAUAGACACAGAUCCUGUGUUCAUGGCUGCCCUCGCGAGCGAAAGAACUGCAGUGUUUUUGUUUUCUAAACUCAGGAGUCUUGGCUAAAGAAAGAACGGCAGGGUG